UCUGAUUCUCUUCAAGCCUUCGGGUCAGGGC
This 31-nucleotide non-coding RNA is filed under the name Mus musculus (house mouse). The record is from RNAcentral. Lineage: Eukaryota; Metazoa; Chordata; Mammalia; Rodentia; Muridae.